Molecule: ribosomal RNA, 253 nt
Filed under: uncultured bacterium
Lineage: Bacteria
Description: partial 16S ribosomal RNA
Rfam family: Bacterial small subunit ribosomal RNA
Source: RNAcentral
UACGUAGGGGGCAAGCGUUGUCCGGAAUCAUUGGGCGUAAAGAGCGUGUAGGCGGCCAGACAGGUCCGUUGUGAAAACUCGAGGCUCAACCUCGAGACGCCGAUGGAAACCGUCUGGCUAGAGUCCGGAAGAGGAGAGUGGAAUUCCCGGUGUAGCGGUGAAAUGCGCAGAUAUCGGGAAGAACACCCGUGGCUAAGGCGGCUCUCUAGUACGGUACUGACGCUGAGACGCGAAAGCGUGGGGAGCGAACAGG